Molecule: transfer RNA, 85 nt
Filed under: Anaerovibrio lipolyticus
Lineage: Bacteria; Bacillati; Bacillota; Negativicutes; Selenomonadales; Selenomonadaceae
Also listed under: 1 other name
Description: tRNA-Leu
Rfam family: tRNA
About the family: Transfer RNA (tRNA) molecules are approximately 80 nucleotides in length. Their secondary structure includes four short double-helical elements and three loops (D, anti-codon, and T loops).
Source: RNAcentral
GCGGGCGUGGUGGAAUUGGCAGACACGCUGGACUUAGGAUCCAGUGCCGCAAGGCGUGGAGGUUCGACCCCUCUCGUCCGCACCA